This 301-nucleotide ribosomal RNA is filed under the name uncultured bacterium. RNAcentral's name for it is "partial 16S ribosomal RNA". It matches the Rfam family "Bacterial small subunit ribosomal RNA", at positions 509 to 807 of the family's 1533-position model. The record is from RNAcentral.
CAGCCGCCACGGUAAUACGAAGGGGGCUAGCGUUGCUCGGAAUUACUGGGCGUAAAGGGAGCGUAGGCGGGUCGUUUAGUCAGAGGUGAAAUCCCGGGGCUCAACCUCGGAACUGCCUUUGAUACUGGCGACCUUGAGUAUGGGAGAGGUGAGUGGAACUCCGAGUGUAGAGGUGAAAUUCGUAGAUAUUCGGAAGAACACCAGUGGCGAAGGCGACACACUGGCCCAUUACUGACGCUGAGGCUCGAAAGCGUGGGGAGCAAACAGGAUUAGAUACCCCCGUAGUCCCUGUCUCUUAUAC